GAACAAAAGUCAAGAAAUGCCACAUUCCACAAACAAAGAACUUAUAUUUGCCAUCAUGGUGGGAACUGCUGGUAUCAGCUUGCUGGUUCUGUGGUAUCAAAGGGUUCGUAAACCAAGGACAGCAAUGAGUUUGCCAAAAUUUUUUUCUCUGGGUAAUACAUUUGAUUCAACAACUUUGCAAGAUAAAACACAUAAUGGCCAAGGAACACCAGCAAUCUUUCAGAGAAGGCAACUUCAGAUACUGGAGAAGUUAAAUGAAUUGCUGACAAAUAUGGAAGAACUCAAAGAGGAAAUCAGAUUUCUUAAAGAAACUAUUCCAAAACUAGAGGAAUAUAUACAAGAUGAACUUGGAGGGAAGAUAACGGUUCAUAGGGUAAGUCCUCAGCACAGAGCCAGAAAAAGAAGAGCAACUGCGGUUCAAAGUUCAGCAACAAGUAAUAGUUCAGAGGAAGCAGAAAGUGAAGGAGGGUAUAUUACAGCUAACACUGACACAGAAGAACAGAGUUUCUCAGUGCCUAAGGCAUUUAACACGCAUGUAGAGGAAUUAACGUUAGAUAUCCUUCUUCAGAAGGCAGAUCACUUACGCAUGACUGAGUCUGGCAAAAUGGAGGGUUUUGAACUACUGUGUGACCACGAAGAGAAGUUUAGAGAUGAAAUAGAAUUUGUGUGGCGGUUUGCUCGGGCUUAUGGAGACAUGUUUGAGCUUUCUACAAAUACACAGGAGAAGAAACAUUAUGCUAAUAUUGGAAAAACAUUAGGUGAAAAAGCUAUCACUAGAGCACCUAUGAAUGGCCACUGUCAUCUGUGGUAUGCAGUUUUGUGUGGCUAUGUAUCUCAGUUUGAGGGCUUACAAAAUAAAAUCAACUAUGGACAUCGCUUCAAGGAACAUCUAGAUAUAGCAAUCCAACUUUUACCUGACGAACCCUUUUUGUAUUACCUCAACGGAAGGUACUGUUACACUGUCUCAAAACUCAGCUGGAUUGAGAAAAAAAUGGCUGCUACUCUGUUUGGGAAUAUGCCAUCUUCAACUGUACAAGAAGCUUUGCGUAACUUCCUUAAGGCUGAAGAAAUACAUCCCGGUUAUUCUCUACUCAAUUACAUGUACUUGGCCAAGUGUUAUGUAGAUCUUGAGGAAAAUCAGAAUGCUUGGAAGUUCUGUAAUUUGGCCUUGUUACUUCCCUCUGUUACCAAAGAGGAUGAAGAGGCACAGACAGAGGUGAAAGCAAUAAUCAAGUCCUUGAAGAGGGUGCUUGACUCUGGAGGAGACAGAAUACCUGAAGAAUGUUGCUGAAAUGAGGAUUUCUCCUGUUGGGCCACUAAGGCCAAGCUAAUGGGGUCAUCUUCCACUCACAGAUGAAGUACACCAACUGCUAACCUCUCAAGAAUCAGCAUGCACAACUUUGGAAAUGGGGCGUUCAGAACCAGAACUUCGAAG
This 1435-nucleotide long non-coding RNA is filed under the name Chinchilla lanigera (long-tailed chinchilla). RNAcentral's name for it is "lncRNA (ENSCLAG00000024631.1)". Lineage: Eukaryota; Metazoa; Chordata; Mammalia; Rodentia; Chinchillidae. The record is from RNAcentral.